RNAcentral lists this ribosomal RNA (501 nucleotides) under uncultured bacterium. Its description in RNAcentral is "partial 16S ribosomal RNA". It matches the Rfam family "Bacterial small subunit ribosomal RNA", at positions 29 to 523 of the family's 1533-position model. The record is from RNAcentral.
AUUGAACGCUGGCGGCAUGCCUUACACAUGCAAGUCGAACGGCAGCACGGGUGCUUGCACCUGGUGGCGAGUGGCGAACGGGUGAGUAAUACAUCGGAACGUACCUUAUCGUGGGGGAUAACGCAGCGAAAGCUGUGCUAAUACCGCAUACGCCCUGAGGGGGAAAGCGGGGGAUCGAAAGACCUCGCGCGAUUAGAGCGGCCGAUGCCUGAUUAGCUUGUUGGUGGGGUAAAAGCCCACCAAGGCGACGAUCAGUAGCUGGUCUGCGAGGACGAUCAGCCAGACUGGGACUGAGAAACGGCCCAGACUCCUACGGGAGGCAGCAGUGGGGAAUUUUGGACAAUGGGGGCAACCCUGAUCCAGCAAUGCCGCGUGAGUGAAGAAGGCCUUCGGGUUGUAAAGCUCUUUUGUCAGGGAAGAAACACCGGCUCUAACACAGUCCGGGAAUGACGGUACCUGAAGAAUAAGCACCGGCUAACUACGUGCCAGCCGCCGCAGUAA